UUCUAGCUUGAUUGGCAUGUAAACAUAGUCUGCGAGUUCGAUCAAGUUUUUGGAGAAGCUGUGUUUGGGUGCACUCGGCCUCCACUAAGAAUUGGGGAAUUAGUUAGCUACACCGGCUUGGACUUGUUGUGUUCUCCCUAAGAGUGCAGACUUUGAUCUAAGUUGAUCACAAGGUGAGUUGGAUUUGUUGGAGAAAUUCUGGGAAAUUUCCUUGUAGCUGAUUGCUGGUGUAUGUAUGAUAAUCAUAUCCUGUAGUGAAGGAUGGUAAUUUGAGUUGUUUCCGGUCUGCAAGCUUGAUGUUUAGUUGAUUGUUAAAGCCUUAAGUUUUGAAUUGGUUUGUUUUGAAUUUGUUGAAUGAAUCGAGAUCGUUUGUUAACGAAACAAAGGAAUUUGAGAUGAUUUUCUCCGUUGCCUAUGCAUAUGUCAAAGUGACAGGUAUUAUGGACAAUUUAUGUAAGGGUAUUAUGGACACUUUAAAAUUUGGUGAAGUUCUCUGA
RNAcentral lists this long non-coding RNA (497 nucleotides) under Rosa chinensis. RNAcentral describes it as "sRNA RchiOBHm_Chr7g0205171". Lineage: Eukaryota; Viridiplantae; Streptophyta; Magnoliopsida; Rosales; Rosaceae. The record is from RNAcentral.